This 232-nucleotide ribosomal RNA is filed under the name uncultured bacterium. RNAcentral's name for it is "partial 16S ribosomal RNA". It matches the Rfam family "Bacterial small subunit ribosomal RNA", at positions 118 to 347 of the family's 1533-position model. The record is from RNAcentral.
UGAGCAAUCUGCCAUUCUCUUCGGAAUAAGCGUGGGAAACCGCGUCUAAUGCCGAAUACGACCUCCUUUCGCAUGAUCGGAGGUGGAAAGCUCCGGCGGAGAAGGAUGAGCUCGCGGCCUAUCAGCUAGUUGGUGUGGGUAAUGGCCCACCAAGGCGACGACGGGUAGCCGGCCUGAGAGGGUGACCGGCCACACUGGGACUGAGACACGGCCCAGACUCCUACGGGAGCAG